CAACACCUAACAGAGAUGUCUGGUGGUCCCCUCUCCUGCUUCUCCAAACAGGGAAUACUCCUACUCUCUAUCCUCCACUAUGACAUCCAAACAGAAAUCCUAAGAGCAACAUUACGAUCCCAGGGACGCGGGUCUCCCCCUCCACCACCACGUCAGGCUUGGGCUGUUCAUCUGAGGACAUAGGAGAGAACAAAAGAGUGUGGUAACAAGUCUCUCCAGUCAUAGCUCCUGGAUCCUCUACAUCAGUCCUAGUAGGAGUGGUUGUGGGUCUGGUUGUUGCUGGUGUUCUACUGGUCAUUCUCCUGGUCCUGCUGUGGAGAUAUCAAAACAGCAAAGGCCCCCUCAGCCCCAGAGCACCAGCCAGGACCCCCAACAGGACCAAGGAUCUACCCAGGGCCAGGCUCCUGAUACUGGGUAUACACAUCAGCAGCAUGGUGAUGCUAACAUCUACGAUACGAUAAAUCCCUCAGACAACAAUGAUAAUGAUGCUGCUGGUGCUUCUGCUGCUGGACCAAGUCAUGUGACUUACAUCCAGAUUCAACUGAACAAGUUGGA
This is a long non-coding RNA of Coregonus clupeaformis (lake whitefish), 555 nucleotides long. RefSeq lists it as uncharacterized. The transcript is spliced from 6 exons. NCBI's taxonomy places the organism in Eukaryota, Metazoa, Chordata, Actinopteri, Salmoniformes, Salmonidae. The record is from RefSeq and is a predicted model, not a curated record.